Molecule: ribosomal RNA, 228 nt
Filed under: uncultured bacterium
Lineage: Bacteria
Description: partial 16S ribosomal RNA
Rfam family: Bacterial small subunit ribosomal RNA
Source: RNAcentral
UGGGGAAUAUUGCACAAUGGGCGAAAGCCUGAUGCAGCAACGCCGCGUGAGUGAUGAAGGUCUUCGGAUUGUAAAGCUCUGUCUUUUGGGACGAUAAUGACGGUACCAAAGGAGGAAGCCACGGCUAACUACGUGCCAGCAGCCGCGGUAAUACGUAGGUGGCGAGCGUUGUCCGGAUUUACUGGGCGUAAAGGGUGCGUAGGCGGAUGUUUAAGUGAGAUGUGAAAU